Molecule: ribosomal RNA, 449 nt
Filed under: uncultured bacterium
Lineage: Bacteria
Description: partial 16S ribosomal RNA
Rfam family: Bacterial small subunit ribosomal RNA
Source: RNAcentral
AGCGAACGCUGGCGGCAGGCCUAACACAUGCAAGUCGAACGAACCCUUCGGGGUUAGUGGCGGACGGGUGAGUAACACGUGAGAACGUGCCUUUAGGUUCGGAAUAACUCAGGGAAACUUGUGCUAAUACCGAAUGUGCCCUUCGGGGGAAAGAUUUAUCGCCUUUAGAGCGGCCCGCGUCUGAUUAGCUAGUUGGUGAGGUAAAGGCUCACCAAGGCUACGAUCAGUAGCUGGUCUGAGAGGAUGACCAGCCACAUUGGGACUGAGACACGGCCCAAACUCCUACGGGAGGCAGCAGUGGGGAAUCUUGCGCAAUGGGCGAAAGCCUGACGCAGCCAUGCCGCGUGGAUGAUGAAGGUCUUAGGAUUGUAAAAUCCUUUCACCGGUGAAGAUAAUGACUGUAGCCGGAGAAGAAGCCCCGGCUAACUUCGUGCCAGCAGCCGCCGUAA